RNAcentral lists this ribosomal RNA (253 nucleotides) under uncultured bacterium. Its description in RNAcentral is "partial 16S ribosomal RNA". It matches the Rfam family "Bacterial small subunit ribosomal RNA", at positions 524 to 776 of the family's 1533-position model. The record is from RNAcentral.
GACAGAGGGUGCAAACGUUGUUCGGAAUUACUGGGCGUAAAGCGCGUGUAGGCGGCUUGGCAAGUCGGGUGUGAAAGCCCUGGGCUCAACCUAGGAAGUGCACUCGAAACUGCCUCGCUUGAAUGCCGGAGAGGAAAGCGGAAUUCUCGGUGUAGAGGUGAAAUUCGUAGAUAUCGAGAGGAACACCGGUGGCGAAGGCGGCUUUCUGGGUCGAUACUGACGCUGAGGUGCGAAAGCGUGGGGAGCAAACAGG